This 97-nucleotide signal recognition particle RNA is filed under the name Neisseria sp. HMSC075C10. RNAcentral describes it as "signal recognition particle sRNA small type". It matches the Rfam family "Bacterial small signal recognition particle RNA". Rfam says of the family: The signal recognition particle (SRP) is a universally conserved ribonucleoprotein involved in the co-translational targeting of proteins to membranes. Archaeal SRP consists of a 7S RNA and homologues of the eukaryotic SRP19 and SRP54 proteins. In most bacteria, the SRP consists of a 4.5S RNA and the Ffh protein (a homologue of the eukaryotic SRP54 protein). The record is from RNAcentral. Lineage: Bacteria; Pseudomonadati; Pseudomonadota; Betaproteobacteria; Neisseriales; Neisseriaceae.
GGCGGGGCUCCCCGCAUGGUAAUUCGGAACACCGGGUCAGGGGCGGAAGCCAGCAGCCCACUCUGAUGAGCCAGUGCCGGGGGUUCGGCUCGCCACC